RNAcentral lists this long non-coding RNA (364 nucleotides) under Bos taurus (domestic cattle). Its description in RNAcentral is "long non-coding RNA NONBTAT016538". The record is from RNAcentral. Lineage: Eukaryota; Metazoa; Chordata; Mammalia; Artiodactyla; Bovidae.
CUGACAGGCUGUUUGGAGGCAUCUGAGCUACUGCCAUAAUUGCUUUUAACAAUGCACGUUAAUUUGCUUCGUGCAAACUGAGUGUCAUCAUUAUUUUAACUAUUAAGAAAAUGUUUGAUUAGAUUCAUCCACUUACAUCUGUGAAUAAAGAAAACUACAACAGUUCUGACAUUUCCAGCAGCACCUGGAUAUCAACUGCUCCCUAACUGCCUUCUAACCUGAGAUGCAGUUUAAGUCUGGAUUCAUAAAGCUAGAGGAAACCUUGGGGGGAAACUGGGUUUAAACCCUUACCUGACCAAGGCAGGUCAGAGGGGGCAGAAAGGAGUGGUGGCUUGCCCCAGGGCGCACCACUGAGUGAUCAAGA